UUAGUUCGAACGUGGGUUCUACGAGGCAUAGAACACGAUCCCCCGCCCGCCGCCGAUCCACGUGAGCCGGCUGAUUGCGCAAUAGUGCACGCUGACUUUGACCCCCGUGCAGGCAUGCAUAUCCGGGUCACAGGCGCUUCAUAUUUCAGAGGCAACAUGGCCACGGUAGAAGGAACACUUGAACGUAAAAAAACACCCGAAAAUGCGCAUUUUCUUGGUCAGAGCCGCAUUUUUCCCCGUAGAAGAGUGGAUAAGUGCCUUCGUCAUUGAACAUCCGACUUAGGCUUGACAAGUGCUGGGAGAAAAUGAAGUACCAGGAAUGAGAAGAGGAUGACAACUCACACAAGUCCUUAUUCAAGGUAGCCCCAAGGCCAGACUAUGCUGACAGCAUAGCCCAGUCUCCAGCCAUGAAAAGCAGAGGUUCACUGUUAUCUGGGGAACAUGAAAUUAGGAAUACUUUAGAUCCAGGUCAUACUGCUGUCCAUGGUGGCUACUAAGAGAGUCCUGUCAGAAUGUGGAUAGUGUCCAACUCCAACUUCCUCAAUGUCCAUGCCAGGUUCUGUGAUGUCCCAGAGUUGACUCACUAGCUAGAUUUUUACAUCACCACUGCUAGCUGCAGUUCAGUUUCCCCUAGUAAAUUAACUUGUCACCUUGCAUGGUUUGUGUGCAUUUAUGUUAAAUACAGACUAAGAUUGGUGACAGUUAUUCCACAUAUCACUGCCUCCUAGCAUCAUGAUAUGACAAAUGUUCAGUCUGUUGACAGAUUAAAAGAGGAAUUUUGCUUCUGUGAAGUAACCUUUUUAACUCACUUAUCUUGUUGCAUUGUAUAAAUUAGUUCAUGAUCCUUGUAAAGACUUGUUUUGAAUAAAGGAUGCAGCAUGCAA
This is a long non-coding RNA of Branchiostoma floridae (Florida lancelet), 884 nucleotides long. RefSeq lists it as uncharacterized. Lineage: Eukaryota; Metazoa; Chordata; Leptocardii; Amphioxiformes; Branchiostomatidae. The record is from RefSeq and is a predicted model, not a curated record. The transcript is spliced from 4 exons.